RNAcentral lists this ribosomal RNA (1996 nucleotides) under Triticum aestivum (bread wheat). RNAcentral's name for it is "partial small subunit ribosomal RNA". The record is from RNAcentral. Lineage: Eukaryota; Viridiplantae; Streptophyta; Magnoliopsida; Poales; Poaceae.
AAAAAAAUAUGCUGGGCCAGUCUAGAAGGCAAGCCCAGCUUAUCUGGUAGAGUCCAGGCCCGGAACGGCAUUCCGUUGUCCUCUAACGGCACGCCAUUCCCCAUCCCUCUCGCCGCUGCCGUCCCCGUCUCUGACUUCUCUCUCUCUCCGGCCAAAUCAAUCCACCCGCCGGCGGCGAGCACGGAGACAGAGGGGUAGGAGCCGACAGCCGAGGCAGUCCACCACCGCGCCAUGGCGCCGCCCCCGAGCACCAGCGCCCCCGACGGCGGCCUGGAUCCCAGGGACGUGUGCGUCGUCGGCGUCGCCCGCACGCCCAUCGGCGCCCUGCUCGGCUCCCUCUCCUCCCUCCCCGCCACCAGGCUCGGCUCCGUCGCCAUCCAGGGUGCUCUCCGGCGAGCCAGCGUCGACCCGGCGCUGGUGCAGGAGGUGUUCAUGGGCAACGUCCUCAGCGCCAACCUCGGCCAGGCCCCCGCCAGGCAGGCCGCCCUCGGCGCCGGCCUGCCCAACACCGUCCCCUGCACCACCGUCAACAAAGUCUGCUCCUCGGGGAUGAAGGCUGUCAUGCUUGCUGUGCAGUCGAUUCAGCUGGGGAUCAACGACGUCGUGGUCGCCGGCGGCAUGGAGAGCAUGUCCAAUGCCCCCAAAUACGCUGCCACAGCAAGACGAGGAUCGCGGUUUGGGCAUGAUGUCCUGAUCGACGGGAUGCUGAAAGACGGGUUGUGGGAUGUGUACAAUGAUUUCCAUAUGGGGAUGUGCGCUGAGCUCUGUGCAGAUCAGCACUCGAUUACAAGGGAGGAGCAGGAUGCUUAUGCCGUACAGAGCAAUGAGCUUGGACUAGCGGCUCGAGACAGCGGCGCGUUUGAUUGGGAAAUUGUUCCGGUUGAAAUUCCUUCCGGUAGAGGCAGACCACCAGUUGUUGUUGACAAGGAUGAGAGUCUUGCAAAGUACGAUCCAGUGAAGCUGAAGAAACUUGGACCGGCUUUUAAGAAGAAUGGCUCUGUGACUGCCGGCAAUUCUUCUAGUAUAAGCGACGGUGCUGCUGCAAUUGUGCUAGUCAGUGGGGAGAAAGCCAAGAACCUUGGCCUUCAAGUUAUUGCAAGGAUCAGAGGGUAUGCUGAUGCUGCUCAGGCACCUGAGCUAUUUACAACAACUCCAGCUCUUGCUAUCCCAAAGGCUAUAUCAAAUUCAGGUCUCCGAGAUUCACAAAUAGAUUAUUAUGAGAUAAAUGAGGCUUUCUCGGUUGUUGCAGUGGCAAAUCAGAGACUUCUUGGCAUCUCUCCUGGAAAACUGAAUAUAAGUGGUGGCGCUGUUUCCCUGGGCCAUCCUAUCGGUUGUAGUGGUGCCCGAAUCAUAGUCACCUUGCUCGGGAUUCUUAGACAGAAACAGGGCAAGUUUGGGGUAGCCGGAGUUUGCAACGGCGGAGGUGGUGCUUCAGCCAUCGUCGUAGAGUCCAUGCAAUCUUCGUCGCGCCUGCGUUCCUCGCUGUGAUGCGAAGUUACCAAACCAUGAGCGUAUUGGCAAGAAGAGCUGAGGUGUAAAGGUUGUUGUAUGUUCACUGCUGUAUCUUGUUUGUGUGAGCCGUAGUGNNNNGCAUCCUUUCAGCAACUAGAUGUGUAGUAAGAUGAUGUGCAGCAGAGGAGAUGAAUAAUUGGGUUUGCAGCCUGAGCCUGUAAAUGUUGUGGAGCAAAUAAUUGUGUGACUGUGAGUUGCAAUCAUGUGGGCAUAGUAUGGUAGAGUAUUUCUCAUCUCCUUUUUUUUUCCUGCGGACAUGAUAGGAUUUGUAGCUGAGCAUAGCGGAGUCUGUACGCCAUUAGCAAAAACAUAUACUCCCUUUGUACCGCGAAAUACUUGUAGUUAGAGAAAGCUAGUACAAGUUCUCCCAACAACAAGUAUUGUGGUACAAAGGGAGUAGUAAGAACCUAAGCUUUAUACAAAUAUACAUAUGCCUUGCGGUUUUUCGGGUCAUGGCCACCCACCGCCGAGCGAUUCUUCUUGC